Long non-coding RNA from Limulus polyphemus (Atlantic horseshoe crab), 359 nucleotides. RefSeq lists it as uncharacterized. NCBI's taxonomy places the organism in Eukaryota, Metazoa, Arthropoda, Merostomata, Xiphosura, Limulidae. The transcript has 3 exons. The record is from RefSeq and is a predicted model, not a curated record.
AGUUGUGGCACGGGUUCACAAUCCAGGAUCGCUAACUACUAGGCCAUGCCCAGUCCUCAAUAAGAAAUUGUGUUUUUCAGUAUAGUUGUUUCAACUAUGGCGCAUCAAAAUGGAUAACCUUACGAUUCGUUCACUGGUUAUUUGGAUCGUGCUUGUGUUGCCCAUACGUAACAACCAUGUCGUUAAGCUUACAAGAGCGCGUUGAUAUUAUCCUCUUGUGUGGACGUCAAGAGACGGACGUGGCUAGCGUGCCCAGACUGUGAAUUUGAAGGUCCAUGGUUCAGAUCCCGAUGAACAGAAAAAAAAAACGCGCUCCGCACUGUGGGGGCUGUGGAUGCGCUAUAAAAGUGACGGUCAAA